Long non-coding RNA from Varanus komodoensis (Komodo dragon), 1221 nucleotides. RefSeq lists it as uncharacterized. The transcript is spliced from 2 exons. NCBI's taxonomy places the organism in Eukaryota, Metazoa, Chordata, Lepidosauria, Squamata, Varanidae. The record is from RefSeq and is a predicted model, not a curated record.
UCAUUUUCUCUCUCUAUCCCCCUCUCCCCCUUUUGCGAUGAGAACAAAGAACACCGAGUUUCCUCACCUUUCCAUCAGAACAUAUUUAAUCGCUGCUGCUUGGAGGCAAAGGAAACUUUUCACAAAACAAAGGCACAUGGUAUUUCAUCUGCUGCUUCAAGGGAAAGUUGAAGGCAGAAGACAAGAAGGAAAAGUGACUCCAUCAAGGAAGCCGCAGCCUUGGACUUAGAAGAGCUGAGCGGGGCAGCUGUGCUGGGAGACUUUGGCGACUUUCUUUCACAGGGUCACAAUCGGCUGCAGCAACGAAUACAAAUAUUUGGCUCAGCUGCCCUUGGAAUACUGUAUUCACUGCACCUGCAAAAGGAAAUCACAGAGUUGGAAGAAUUAUAGGGAAGGGAAGGAAAAGCGACCACGAGGUUGCAGCAACUCCACUAUCAGGACAGGAGCUGUGCUUGUUUAGUAUGAUGGCUCUAUGCUGUCCCUGGUAUCAGAAGCAGUAUGCUCAGGUGCACCAGUUGCUGGGAGGAGCUGUUGCACUCAUAUCCUUCCUGUGCCAUCCUGUGAGCAACUGGUUGGCCAUGGGUAAACAGAGGUGCCUAGGACUAGCUGGCCCAGCGAUCAGCAUGGCUUCUCUCAGCUUCUCUGAUGUUCUUAGGCAGUAAAAGGUGCCAGCAUGUUUUAAGAUUAAACACACACACACCAGAUCAGCAGUGAGAUUAAGCUUUCUGACCCCACCUCUCUCAAAGAAAACAGUGCUGUUGAGUUCAUUUUUAGAUAGUAUUUUAAAUCACCAUCCAUCCUUGAAGAUAGCUGGACAGCAUGUGCAUCUGAUUAAAAUAAUAACCGAUACAAUAAAAAUACCCAGACAAAAUCAUUCACUAUAUACUUUGCUUUUGAUGUUUCUGCAGGUAGGAUAGACCAUUGCAGAAUAAAUGAGCAAGAGCUGCAGAACAGGAUUUUGCAAGUAGACUGGGAAAGGGUGGAGACGUCUUCCGGCGCAUCAUCCGAAUGCAAGAGUAUUGUCGUGAGCCUCGGGGAAACUUAGGUCAACCUGGGGACUGCCAACCCCUGAGUGAGACUGUUCUCAAUUAAGACGGGAUCUCUUUAGCAACACUAGUUAACAGCACUGCAUAAAAUGCAAACAAAAUAUGGAGAAGUGUUUACCAUAGCUGAAUUAUCUCCUGGGAGAUUUAGUGGCUUAUUAAAAAUUAUUGGCCUUUA